GACGAACGCUGGCGGCGUGCUUAACACAUGCAAGUCGAACGGAAAGGCCCUGCUUUUGUGGGUUGCUCGAGUGGCGCACGGGUGAGUAUCACGUGAGUAACCUGCCCUUGUCUUUGGGAUAACUUCAGGAAACUGGGGCUAAUACCGGAUAGGAGCUCCUGCUGCAUGGUGUGGGUUGGAAAGUUUCGGCGGUUGGGGCUGGACUCGCGGCUUAUCAGCUUGUUGGUGGGGUAGUGGCUUACCAAGGUUUUGACGGCUAGCCGGCCUGAGAGGGUGACCGGCGACAUUGGGACUAAGAUACGGCGCAGACUCCUACGGGAGGCAGCAGUGGGGAAUAUUGCACAAUGGGCGGAAGCCUGAUGCAGCAACGCCGCGUGCGGGAUGACGGCCUUCGGGUUGUAAACCGCUGUCGCAUGUGACGAAGAGUGAGUGACGGUAAUGAGUAAAGAAGCACCGGCUAACUACGUG
RNAcentral lists this ribosomal RNA (468 nucleotides) under uncultured bacterium. RNAcentral's name for it is "partial 16S ribosomal RNA". It matches the Rfam family "Bacterial small subunit ribosomal RNA", at positions 28 to 507 of the family's 1533-position model. The record is from RNAcentral.